GUAAUUGUGCCAAUUUACAAUCAAGAAGCCAUCAAACCAAAUGCAGCUUAAUUCAGAUACAAACCUAUAUUGAUAGCAAAAAGCAAUAAAAAAAAACUGAGGACACAGACCUUGGUGAGAUGCCAAAUGGAAAAUGGUGCUUUAAAAGGCAGUCUCUUACAAUGUAAGGAAUAAAGUAAAACCUCAUUAGCUUGGAAUUCCUGAUCUGAAUGAUCAGGUAUUCUAGACAAGAUCAAGAAAAGAUAGUUCAAACUAUUGAAUGAACUUUUACUUAAGCACUUUGGAGGUGUUCACGCCCCUUAAAUGUAAGUUACGUAUCUAUUCAUUGAAGGAAGUCUAAGCAGUU
This 346-nucleotide long non-coding RNA is filed under the name Bos taurus (domestic cattle). RNAcentral's name for it is "long non-coding RNA NONBTAT026677". Lineage: Eukaryota; Metazoa; Chordata; Mammalia; Artiodactyla; Bovidae. The record is from RNAcentral.